RNAcentral lists this ribosomal RNA (243 nucleotides) under uncultured Actinomycetales bacterium. RNAcentral's name for it is "partial 16S ribosomal RNA". It matches the Rfam family "Bacterial small subunit ribosomal RNA", at positions 88 to 334 of the family's 1533-position model. Lineage: Bacteria; Bacillati; Actinomycetota; Actinomycetes; Actinomycetales. The record is from RNAcentral.
UACUCGAGUGGCGAACGGGUGAGUAACACGUGGGUGAUCUGCCCUGCACUUCGGGAUAAGCUUGGGAAACUGGGUCUAAUACCGGAUAGGAUCCAUCUUUAGUGUGGUGGUUGGAAAGUUUUUUCGGUGUAGGAUUAGCUCGCGGCCUAUCAGCUUGUUGGUGGGGUAAUGGCCUACCAAGGCGGCGACGGGUAGCCGGCCUGAGAGGGUGUACGGCCACAUUGGGACUGAGAUACGGCCCAG